GACGAACGCUGGCGGCGUGCCUAAUACAUGCAAGUAGGACGCUGAAGGAGGAGCUUGCUUCUCUGGAUGAGUUGCGAACGGGUGAGUAACGCGUAGGUAACCUGCCUGGUAGCGGGGGAUAACUAUUGGAAACGAUAGCUAAUACCGCAUAAUAGUAGAUGUUGCAUGACAUUUGCUUAAAAGGUGCAAUUGCAUCACUACCAGAUGGACCUGCGUUGUAUUAGCUAGUUGGUGGGGUAACGGCUCACCAAGGCGACGAUACAUAGCCGACCUGAGAGGGUGAUCGGCCACACUGGGACUGAGACACGGCCCAGACUCCUACGGGAGGUAGCAGUAGGGAAUCUUCGGCAAUGGACGGAAGUCUGACCGAGCAACGCCGCGUGAGUGAAGAAGGUUUUCGGAUCGUAAAGCUCUGUUGUAAGAGAAGAACGAGUGUGAGAGUGGAAAGUUCACACUGUGACGGUAUCUUACCAGAAAGGGACGGCUAACUACGUG
This 495-nucleotide ribosomal RNA is filed under the name uncultured bacterium. RNAcentral's name for it is "partial 16S ribosomal RNA". It matches the Rfam family "Bacterial small subunit ribosomal RNA", at positions 28 to 507 of the family's 1533-position model. The record is from RNAcentral.